This 333-nucleotide small RNA is filed under the name Theobroma cacao (cacao). RNAcentral describes it as "sRNA Tc04v2_g008670". Lineage: Eukaryota; Viridiplantae; Streptophyta; Magnoliopsida; Malvales; Malvaceae. The record is from RNAcentral.
CUCUCCCAUUCACUCUCUCAUUGCCGUUCAAGCCAAAGAACAAAGGGGGAAAGAAUAGAAAAACCCUAAGGAGGAAAAAUUCAAGAGAAAUUCAUUGGAUUUCCAAAAAAACGAAGCGAUCGGAGGUGGUGAGCCCUCUGGUAAGGGUAAGGAUAUCGUACCCAAGGACCAGGAGUAGGAGUACUCCCGUUAUUGUUCAGAGCAGUCUGUAGACAACCGAUUUUGUCGAGGGUUUGCUUUUGGAUUUGCACCCUGAGAAAUCGUAGGUCUACAGUCCUGUUUAUUUUUGUUAUUUCGAGGCUCACAUAUCAUUGUAAAAUAUUUUUGUAUACC